UACGGAGGAUCCAAGCGUUAUCCGGAUUUAUUGGGUUUAAAGGGUGCGUAGGCGGCCCAUUAAGUCAGGGGUGAAAGACGGUAGCUCAACUAUCGCAGUGCCCUUGAUACUGAUGGGCUUGAAUGGACUAGAGGUAGGCGGAAUGUGACAAGUAGCGGUGAAAUGCAUAGAUAUGUCACAGAACACCGAUUGCGAAGGCAGCUUACUAUGGUCUUAUUGACGCUGAGGCACGAAAGCGUGGGGAUCAAACAGG
This 253-nucleotide ribosomal RNA is filed under the name uncultured bacterium. RNAcentral describes it as "partial 16S ribosomal RNA". It matches the Rfam family "Bacterial small subunit ribosomal RNA", at positions 524 to 776 of the family's 1533-position model. The record is from RNAcentral.